CCUACGGGUGGCAGCAGUGAGGAAUAUUGGUCAAUGGGCGCGAGCCUGAACCAGCCACGUCGCGUGAGGGAAGACGGUCCUAUGGAUUGUAAACCUCUUUUGUCGGGGAGCAAAAGACGCCACGCGUGGCGUUCCGAGAGUACCCGAAGAAAAAGCAUCGGCUAACUCCGUGCCAGCAGCCGCGGUAAUACGGAGGAUGCGAGCGUUAUCCGGAUUUGUUGGGUUUAAGGGGUGGGAAGGAGGAAGGUCAAGUCAGCGGGAAAAUUGAGAGGCUCAACCUCUUCGAGCCGUUGAAACUGGUUUUCUUGAGUGAGGGAGAAGUAUGCGGAAUGCGUGGUGUAGCGGUGAAAUGCAUAGAUAUCACGCAGAACUCCGAUUGCGAAGGCAGCAUACCGGCGCUCAACUGACGCUCAGGCACGAAAGUGUGGGUAUCGAACAGGAUUAGAUACCCGUGUAGUC
This 459-nucleotide ribosomal RNA is filed under the name uncultured bacterium. RNAcentral's name for it is "partial 16S ribosomal RNA". It matches the Rfam family "Bacterial small subunit ribosomal RNA", at positions 338 to 795 of the family's 1533-position model. The record is from RNAcentral.